CAGGCCCUCCGCUCAGCCCUUCCCCCAGGAUGGCAGGACUGUUUCCCAGUCACGGCAUCCCUCUGGCAAUUUGGGGAAGCCCACGGAGCCUUUCUCAGCCUAACUGAAGGAAAUGCUCAUUUUCAAAUAGACCUUAGUGAAAAAUAAAGAUGUUUCCCCGCUCUGAGAUCUCUCCAGAGACCUAAGAGCCCCGCGUUAAAAUCGGGGACCAUACUCUAUUGGAUUUAACUCAAUUUAAUAUAUUGAGUCCUUCGCCUUUGCCAGGAAUAGUCGUAGGCAGAGAGGAUACACAGACAGAAAUGAAACUGUUUCUGGGCUCCCGGAGCUCCUAUCAGAACCAGGGAGUUGGGAAGAGAAGAGAAACGGCCGUGUCGGGAAGGCCGAGGAAGGAAAGUCUGUCCCGGAGGAGAGAAGUGGCCCGGAUGGAAAGAUCCGGAAAGGUCGUGGAGCACGAGGACCAAGCGGCAGCCGUCAGAUGUAGCCGAUGAGGAAGCAGAGAGCGCCAGACUUAAAGGACUUGCCCGGGAUUAUACAGCUAAUAAGUGGCUGAGGCCAGAUUUGAACUCGGAAUAAUGAAUCUUGCCGGAGCUCUCUCCAUUGCCCUUAUCCUGGUUUGGGGUGGGCGCGGGGAGAGGGUGAAAAGGAGAUCUGAGGUCCCCGAGUUUGAAGUACGGGAACCUGAGUCUGCCUAAGAAGAGCCCGAGUUAUAACGCACAGUUUUGUGCAAGAAAUGCAAUUUUAUAACUUUCAACGGAUACUAAAUAAAGUAGAUUAAUGAAAAAAA
Long non-coding RNA from Monodelphis domestica (gray short-tailed opossum), 784 nucleotides. RefSeq lists it as uncharacterized. Lineage: Eukaryota; Metazoa; Chordata; Mammalia; Didelphimorphia; Didelphidae. The record is from RefSeq and is a predicted model, not a curated record.